RNAcentral lists this ribosomal RNA (375 nucleotides) under uncultured bacterium. RNAcentral describes it as "bacterial SSU rRNA". It matches the Rfam family "Bacterial small subunit ribosomal RNA", at positions 524 to 898 of the family's 1533-position model. The record is from RNAcentral.
CACGUAUGGGGCAAGCGUUGUUCGGAAUCACUGGGCGUAAAGGGCGUGUAGGCGGUUUUGCAAGCCUGGCGUGAAAGGCUUCGGCUCAACCGGAGGAUUGCGCUGGGAACUGCGAGACUUGAGUUCUGGAGGGGGAGCUGGAAUUCCUGGUGUAGGGGUGAAAUCUGUAGAGAUCAGGAAGAACACCGGUGGCGAAGGCGAGCUCCUGGACAGAAACUGACGCUGAGGCGCGAAAGCGUGGGGAGCGAACAGGAUUAGAUACCCUGGUAGUCCACGCUGUAAACGAUGUGCACUAGGUGUUGGGGCGAUUGAUGCUCCGGUGCCGUAGCUAACGCGAUAAGUGCACCGCCUGGGGAGUAUGCUCGCAAGGGUGAA